AGAGUUUGAUCCUGGCUCAGGACGAACGCUGGCGGCGUGCUUAACACAUGCAAGCCGAACGGAAAGGCCCUUCGGGGUACUCGAGUGGCGAACGGGUGAGUAACACGUGGGUGAUCUGCCCUGCACUCUGGGAUAAGCCUGGGAAACUGGGUCUAAUACCGGAUAGGACCGCAUGCUUCAUGGUGUGUGGUGCAAAGCUUUUGCGGUGUGGGAUGAGCCCGCGGCCUAUCAGCUUGUUGGUGGGGUAAUGGCCUACCAAGGCGACGACGGGUAGCCGGCCUGAGAGGGUGACCGGCCACACUGGGACUGAGAUACGGCCCAGACUCCUACGGGAGGCAGCAGUGGGGAAUAUUGCACAAUGGGCGCAAGCCUGAUGCAGCGACGCCGCGUGAGGGAUGACGGCCUUCGGGUUGUAAACCUCUUUCAGUAGGGACGAAGCGAAAGUGACGGUACCUACAGAAGAAGGACCGGCCAACUACGUGCCAGCAGCCGCGGUAAUACGUAGGGUCCGAGCGUUGUCCGGAAUUACUGGGCGUAAAGAGCUCGUAGGUGGUUUGUCGCGUUGUUCGUGAAAACUCACAGCUUAACUGUGGGCGUGCGGGCGAUACGGGCAGACUAGAGUACUGCAGGGGAGACUGGAAUUCCUGGUGUAGCGGUGGAAUGCGCAGAUAUCAGGAGGAACACCGGUGGCGAAGGCGGGUCUCUGGGCAGUAACUGACGCUGAGGAGCGAAAGCGUGGGUAGCGAACAGGAUUAGAUACCCUGGUAGU
This 769-nucleotide ribosomal RNA is filed under the name uncultured bacterium. RNAcentral's name for it is "bacterial SSU rRNA". It matches the Rfam family "Bacterial small subunit ribosomal RNA", at positions 8 to 794 of the family's 1533-position model. The record is from RNAcentral.